GAGUAACACGUGAGUAACCUGCCCCAGACUCCGGAAUAACCUCGGGAAACCGAAGCUAAUACCGGAUACGAGACGUACAGGCAUCUGUAACGUCUGGAAAGAUUUAUCGGUCUGGGAUGGACUCGCGGCCUAUCAGCUUGUUGGCGGGGUAACGGCCCACCAAGGCGACGACGGGUAGCCGGCCUGAGAGGGUGACCGGCCACACUGGGACUGAGACACGGCCCAGACUCCUACGGGAGGCAGCAGUUGGGAAUAUUGCACAAUGGGCGCAAGCCUGAUGCAGCGACGCCGCGUGAGGGAUGACGGCCUUCGGGUUGUAAACCUCUUUCAGCAGGGAAGAAGCGAAAGUGACGGUACCUGCAGAAGAAGCACCGGCUAACUACGUGCCAGCAGCCGCGGUAAUACGUAGGGUGCAAGCGUUGUCCGGAAUUAUUGGGCGUAAAGAGCUCGUAGGCGGUUUGUCACGUCUGCUGUGAAAACGCGAGGCUCAACCUCGCGCCUGCAGUGGGUACGGGCAGACUAGAGUGUGGUAGGGGAGACCGGAAUUCCUGGUGUAGCGGUGGAAUGCGCAGAUAUCAGGAGGAACACCGAUGGCGAAGGCAGGUCUCUGGGCCACUACUGACGCUGAGGAGCGAAAGCAUGGGGAGCGAACAGGAUUA
Molecule: ribosomal RNA, 659 nt
Filed under: Actinotalea sp.
Lineage: Bacteria; Bacillati; Actinomycetota; Actinomycetes; Micrococcales; Cellulomonadaceae
Description: bacterial SSU rRNA
Rfam family: Bacterial small subunit ribosomal RNA
Source: RNAcentral